This 577-nucleotide unclassified non-coding RNA is filed under the name Hevea brasiliensis (rubber tree). Lineage: Eukaryota; Viridiplantae; Streptophyta; Magnoliopsida; Malpighiales; Euphorbiaceae. The record is from RNAcentral.
GUUUGUUACCUGGAUUCAAAUAUGUUGCUCAUUUUGAGUAGUUGUUACUAGAUUUGAAUAUUGAAGGAUUAGAGAAGAUCAUUCAAAGUUUAAGUUUAGAGCUGAAUAUUUAAAGCGUAGAAUGGCUAUUUACAUUUUAGAGAUAUGUGUAGCAAUGAUAUGUGUAUGUAUUAUAUCUGUAUGACAUCACUCCUUUUGGAAAUAUGGUAUGGUCUGUGUCAUCCAUGUGGGUCAAUUCGGAUCCAUUAGAUUUAAAAUCAAAACCAAGAACAAUCACAUGAAAUGUCAUAUACAUUGUCAAAAGGUGUCAAAAUCCAAAAGUCAUGUAUCGCCAAAAGUGGUAAAAUCCAAAAGUCAUGUACAUUGUUUAAAAGAUAUAACUGCAUAAAGAGAUACAACUUUACUAAAUAAUUAUAUACAUAAAGUGAUACAAUUAUUGGUCAAAAGGUGCCAUGAUUUAUCAAUAGUCAAGUUUUUGUUUUCAUUUGUGAAAUAAAGAAAAAAUGCGUAUAGAAAAGUGUGAAGUGUGUACAAGUGAUUGUACAUUGACUUUUGUUCUUAGUAUCCUUAAAAGACU